GCAACGAAAUGAUCGGGCUCGGCCCGAUCCUCCCACCCUUUGUGUACCUACCUCUGUUGCUUUGGCGGGCCGCGGUCCUCCGCGGCCGCCCCCCUCCCCGGGGGGGUGGCCAGCGCCCGCCAGAGGACCAUCAAACUCCAGUCAGUAAACGAUGCAGUCUGAAAAACAUUUAAUAAACUAAAACUUUCAACAACGGAUCUCUUGGUUCUGGCAUCGAUGAAGAACGCAGCGAAAUGCGAUAAGUAAUGUGAAUUGCAGAAUUCAGUGAAUCAUCGAAUCUUUGAACGCACAUUGCGCCCUUUGGUAUUCCGAAGGGCAUGCCUGUUCGAGCGUCAUUACAACCCUCAAGCUCUGCUUGGUAUUGGGCACCGUCCUUUGCGGGCGCGCCUCAAAGACCUCGGCGGUGGCGUCUUGCCUCAAGCGUAGUAGAACAUACAUCUCGCUUCGGAGCGCAGGGCGUCGCCCGCCGGACGAACCUUCUGAACUUUUCUCAAGGUUGACCUCGGAUCAGGUAGGGAUACCCGCUGAACUUAAGCAUAUCAUAAGCCGGGAGGAA
This 556-nucleotide ribosomal RNA is filed under the name Botryosphaeria dothidea. RNAcentral's name for it is "eukaryotic LSU rRNA". The stretch from base 182 to 335 matches the Rfam family "5.8S ribosomal RNA". Lineage: Eukaryota; Fungi; Ascomycota; Dothideomycetes; Botryosphaeriales; Botryosphaeriaceae. The record is from RNAcentral.